AGUGAACGCUGGCGGUAGGCCUAACACAUGCAAGUCGAACGGCAGCACAGUAAGAGCUUGCUCUUACGGGUGGCGAGUGGCGGACGGGUGAGGAAUACAUCGGAAUCUACUUUUUCGUGGGGGAUAACGUAGGGAAACUUACGCUAAUACCGCAUACGACCUACGGGUGAAAGCAGGGGAUAUUCGCACCUUGCGCGAUUGAAUGAGCCGAUGUCGGAUUAGCUAGUUGGCGGGGUAAAGGCCCACCAAGGCGACGAUCCGUAGCUGGUCUGAGAGGAUGAUCGGCCACACUGGAACUGAGACACGGUCCAGACUCCUACGGGAGGCAGCAGUAGGGAAUAUUGGGCAAUGGGCGCAAGCCUGACCCAGCCAUACCGCGUGGGUGAAGAAGGCCUUCGGGUUGUAAAGCCCUUUUGUUGGGAAAGAAAAGCAGCAGGUUAAUACCCCGCUGUUCUGACGGUACCCAAAGAAUAAGCACCGGCUAACUUCGUG
RNAcentral lists this ribosomal RNA (492 nucleotides) under uncultured bacterium. RNAcentral describes it as "partial 16S ribosomal RNA". It matches the Rfam family "Bacterial small subunit ribosomal RNA", at positions 29 to 507 of the family's 1533-position model. The record is from RNAcentral.